This is a long non-coding RNA of Canis lupus familiaris (dog), 393 nucleotides long. RefSeq lists it as uncharacterized. The transcript has 3 exons. The record is from RefSeq and is a predicted model, not a curated record. NCBI's taxonomy places the organism in Eukaryota, Metazoa, Chordata, Mammalia, Carnivora, Canidae.
UUUAGCCAAUGACUGUCGAAGGGGCGGUGCAAUCAGGUCCCUAACCUGCUGGGCCUGCCGCCAGAGGGUCCCGUCCAGGCUGCUGCAGGAGCAGCCCCAGGAACCAGGCCGGACCGCGAGAAGCCGAGGGAAGGGGAGUCGCGGGCUUCAGGCUUCAGAAAGAAGCGAGGCAGGGGAAAUCCCUUCUGGAAGGAGGGGUUGAGGAGGUGUCUGGCCGAGGGUGAGUCUUCAAGAGGGCGGGACAUUAACGCUGUGAUGUGAAGCUCUGCCGGUGUUUUUCUACAGUUCACACAAUCACCAGAAAGCCCGUGUCUUGGCACCAGAACCUGGAGGAACCUGCAGACGAUGGGGCCGGGAGUGGAGACCUCAUACCGUGCCGAUGGAGACAGACAA